Molecule: ribosomal RNA, 497 nt
Filed under: uncultured bacterium
Lineage: Bacteria
Description: partial 16S ribosomal RNA
Rfam family: Bacterial small subunit ribosomal RNA
Source: RNAcentral
GAUGAACGCUGGCGGCGUGCCUAAUACAUGCAAGUCGAGCGAACAGACGAGGAGCUUGCUCCUCUGACGUUAGCGGCGGACGGGUGAGUAACACGUGGAUAACCUACCUAUAAGACUGGGAUAAAUUCGGGAAACCGGAGCUAAUACCGGAUAAUAUAUUGAACCGCAUGGUUCAAUAGUGAAAGACGGUUUUGCUGUCACUUAUAGAUGGAUCCGCGCCGCAUUAGCUAGUUGGUAAGGUAACGGCUUACCAAGGCAACGAUGCGUAGCCGACCUGAGAGGGUGAUCGGCCACACUGGAACUGAGACACGGUCCAGACUCCUACGGUAGGCAGCAGUAGGGAAUCUUCCGCAAUGGGCGAAAGCUUGGCGGAGCAACGCCGCGUGAGUGAUGAAGGUCUUCGGAUCGUAAAACUCUGUUAUUAGGGAAGAACAAAUGUGUAAGUACCUGUGCACGUCUUGACGGUACCUAAUCAGAAAGCCACGGCUAACUACGUG